UACGGAGGGUGCGAGCGUUGUCCGGAAUCACUGGGCGUAAAGCGCGUGUAGGCGGCGUCGUUAGUCGGAUGUGAAAGCCCUCGGCUCAACCGAGGAAGUGCAUCCGAUACUGCGAUGCUUGAGUGUUGGAGGGGGUGGCGGAAUUCCCGGUGUAGAGGUGAAAUUCGUAGAUAUCGGGAGGAACACCUGGUGGCGAAGGCGGCUCACUGGCUCAUUACUGAGCUCAGGCGCGAUAGCGUGGGGAUCAAACAGG
Molecule: ribosomal RNA, 253 nt
Filed under: uncultured bacterium
Lineage: Bacteria
Description: partial 16S ribosomal RNA
Rfam family: Bacterial small subunit ribosomal RNA
Source: RNAcentral